This is a small nucleolar RNA of Abrus precatorius (Indian licorice), 107 nucleotides long. The record is from RefSeq and is a predicted model, not a curated record. NCBI's taxonomy places the organism in Eukaryota, Viridiplantae, Streptophyta, Magnoliopsida, Fabales, Fabaceae.
AUCCCAUGAUGUGGGCACUUCCUUAAUGAUUCCUUAAACCUCUCCCAUGUAUAAUAUAAGGUCUCUUACUCCAAUUGGUAAAAGGAGGAGAUAUCAUUCCUCAUCUU